GAUGAACGCUGGCGGCGUGCUUAACACAUGCAAGUCGAACGGAAAGGCCUUGUGCUUGCACAGGGUACUCGAGUGGCGAACGGGUGAGUAACACGUGGGUGAUCUGCCCUGCACUGUGGGAUAAGCCUGGGAAACUGGGUCUAAUACCAUAUAGGACCGCAUCUUGGAUGGUGUGGUGGAAAGCUUUUGCGGUGUGGGAUGAGCCUGCGGCCUAUCAGCUUGUUGGUGGGGUAAUGGCCUACCAAGGCGGCGACGGGUAUCCGGCCUGAGAGGGUGUACGGACACACUGGGACUGAGAUACGGCCCAGACUCCUACGGGAGGCAGCAGUGGGGAAUAUUGCACAAUGGGCGCAAGCCUGAUGCAGCGACGCCGCGUGGGGGAUGAAGGCCUUCGGGUUGUAAACUCCUUUCGCUAUCGACGAAGCCUUCGGGUGACGGUAGGUAGAUAAGAAGCACCGGCUAACUACGUGCCAGCCGCCGCCGUAA
Molecule: ribosomal RNA, 486 nt
Filed under: uncultured bacterium
Lineage: Bacteria
Description: partial 16S ribosomal RNA
Rfam family: Bacterial small subunit ribosomal RNA
Source: RNAcentral